This 406-nucleotide ribosomal RNA is filed under the name uncultured bacterium. Its description in RNAcentral is "partial 16S ribosomal RNA". It matches the Rfam family "Bacterial small subunit ribosomal RNA", at positions 30 to 526 of the family's 1533-position model. The record is from RNAcentral.
AUUGAACGCUAGCGGCAGGCCUAACACAUGCAAGUCGAACGAGUGGCGGACGGGUGAGUAAUGUCUGGGAAACUGCCUGGUGGCGGGGGAUAAAUACUGGAAACGGUAGCUAAUACAGCAUACCAUCGGAUGUGCCCAGAUGGGAUUAGAUAGUAGGUGGGGUAACGGCUCACCAAGGCGACGAUCCCUAGCUGGUCUGAGAGGAUGACCAGCCACACUGGAACUGAGACACGGUCCAGACUCCUACGGGAGGCAGCAGUGGGGAAUAUUGCACAAUGGGCGCAAGCCUGAUGCAGCCAUGCCGCGUGUAUGAAGAAGGCCUUCGGGUUGUAAAGUACUUUCAGCGGGGAGGCGUUACCCGCAGAAGAAGCACCGGCUAACUCCGUGCCAGCAGCCGCGGUAAUUC